GGGGCGGAGACCCCCUGCCCCUCCCAGGAGCCUCAGGGGCAUGGCCGCUGCUUCUGCGAGUAGCACAGGGCUAAGGAAGGAAGGAAGGGCGCCUGCUUUAGCCCUGCUGCCCCACUGACCAGGAGCCACCUGAGCCUACCUGAAUCCUGUAUCCCUGAACAGCUACAGGAACACUGCAUGGAGGCAGCUCCCUUUUCCCAAAAACACCAGGCUCACUGGUGCACCAUACACAGACAGCUUACGAACCACUUUCCCCCCGUAGAAGAAUUGCAAAUAGUAACAACACAGAUACUACUAAACUCUUUACCCUGUCAUCCGAACCCAACGUAGACCUUGUCUAGCCUGUGUGAAAGCAACAUUUGCCAGGUGGGCUGCCAAGAAAUUACACUGUGCAAAUAAUUGCCCUGGAGGAGGAUAGCUUGGCAGCAGCCGAGUAAGAGCUGGAGAAAUGGAAGUAGUCAAGAGGCAAGGUUUCGAAGAGCUCUGCCAUAAAUGUCUGAUGAAAAAUAUUAGGGAGACAUUUAGCAAAUGUGACUAUGAACGCUGAUUCUCUGCCAGCUGGCAGGUUUGGAAUUACAGCCAUAACAAUUAGCUGUGAUUACUUCCUGAUGUUGCUGAGUACAGUGCAAAGAUCACCAGCUGAAGUAGCUGCAUUCUGUGAUAUUUGUGGGUGGGCGGCACAAAGGAAGAGUAUCUGAUCAUGAUGUGAACAUUAGAGACAUGCGUUAGGGAUAGACAGGUGUGUGUAUGGUAUGGCAGAGGGAGGAAGGUUUAUUUCAGUUUAUCAAGCCUCUCUCCAGAGAUCUAGCUGCAGUACAUACUUAAAAUACAACUAUUAUAAACAAAAUAAAAACUAAAAGCAAAACAACUGAACUUCCCAACCAGGACCAUACUGGCUACAAUAGUUAACCCAUAAUAACAACAACUCUAGUCAAUUACCAUCCACCCUCAGCCAACCAGCCUUUACUCCACUCUGCUGAUCAAAAACAGAGAGAAAGGCUGGGCUUUGCAGUAUGUCCAAAAGGUUAAUAAAUCUGGACUCCGAUCCAGCAUGCAUCGCUGUCCUUGGAAAGACUCCCAGCUACAUCAGCGGGUGCUGGAUCAGGCUCUUAGACUCUUGUGGACGAAGGCUUGAGAAAAUUGCAGAGUCAAAGACCCUUCCCAGAGAAUGCUUUGAGGCCAGCUCCUCACAUUUAAAGUGAACGUGGCUCCAUCUGAAUUCUCCUACUGCUACCAGCUGCAGUAGUAUUGCACAGGGACAGUGGCAGUCUCUAGCUAACUUGGAAUGCCUGCUACCAGCUUCUAUUCAUCAUUACCUAUGAGGCUAACCCAUUAAAUUCCCCUCUAGAAUUCAGAACACAGGAUGAAUCCCUGAAGAUCUUUGUAACAUGAGAAGAGCUGUGCAAAUUAUUCUGAGCUCCAGCCCCAUUAAAACUUAGUUCUGGGAUUGAAGUUGAACUUUCGCUUUUACUCACAAUGUUCAGUGAACAUGGGCUGAGGAUAUUUGUAUUGAGCAGCUUGACAAUUCCCCUCCCCGCAGCCAGUCUUCCCCUAUUUACUCAGCUUCCCCCCUUCCUCAACAAACCCCAAGUCCUUCCUGAAGACAUUGGAUCUGGGAAGUGGAGGGAAGGGAUAGUUUGGAGGGCCAGCCUUGGAAACCCUUUUUUGACUUUCUUGACCUCA
Mauremys mutica (yellowpond turtle) is the source of this 1683-nucleotide long non-coding RNA. RefSeq lists it as uncharacterized. The record is from RefSeq and is a predicted model, not a curated record. NCBI's taxonomy places the organism in Eukaryota, Metazoa, Chordata, Testudines, Geoemydidae. The transcript is spliced from 4 exons.